GAGUUUGAUCGUGGCUCAGAACGAACGUUAGCGGCGCGCCUAACACAUGCAAGUCGCACGAGAAAGGGAUUCGUCCCCGGUACAGUGGCGCACGGGUGAGUAACACGUGGGUAAUCUGCCUUUGAGCGGGGGAUAACAUUCCGAAAGGAGUGCUAAUACCGCAUAAGACCACGCCCUCGAAAGAGGAAGCGGUCAAAGCUGGCCUCUAUACAUAAGCUAGCACUCGAAGAUGAGCCCGCGGAGCAUCAGGUAGUUGGUGAGGUAAUGGCUCACCAAGCCUAAGACGCUUAGCUGGUCUGAGAGGAUGAUCAGCCACACUGGGACUGAGACACGGUCCAGACUCCUACGGGAGGCAGCAGUGGGGAAUCUUGCGCAAUGGGCGAAAGCCUGACGCAGCGACGCCGCGUGAGUGAUGAAGGCC
Molecule: ribosomal RNA, 421 nt
Filed under: uncultured bacterium
Lineage: Bacteria
Description: bacterial SSU rRNA
Rfam family: Bacterial small subunit ribosomal RNA
Source: RNAcentral